Canis lupus familiaris (dog) is the source of this 1174-nucleotide long non-coding RNA. RefSeq lists it as uncharacterized. The record is from RefSeq and is a predicted model, not a curated record. NCBI's taxonomy places the organism in Eukaryota, Metazoa, Chordata, Mammalia, Carnivora, Canidae. The transcript has 5 exons.
AGACCUACCGCGUGAGCGUGCGGGAGCGGCCAGUGGAGGCGGAGGUGGUGGCAGAAGGAGGAGGAGCCCGUGGGCUGCGUGGACCUGGCCCGGCUGUGACCUUCCUGGGUACCUGUCUCUCUUUCUGACCCCAACAUCCUCCGGAAUUAGAGAGAUCUGCCUCUGCUUCGUGUCUGGCGUGGCUGCCGCCGGUGUGAGGACUUCUCUAGGAAUCCGCUAACGUACCUCUGAGGCAAGCGGAAGGGCCAGCCCUCCCGCCCCGCGACCCCGCAGGCCUGCAUCUGAUGGGAACCCAACCUGAGAUCCAGACCCUCUGAGUAUUUACUCAAGAUACAUGUAAACACAUCUAUGCAAAGACUUUACAGUGAUGUUCAUAGCAGCCAUAUUCAUGAUAGUUCUAAACUGGAAGCAACCCCCAAAUCCAUCUAUAGGUGAAUAGGUUUGAAAUGAGGACUCAUCGAGAAAUGACCAAGUUGGUUGUGCUUAUUACACUCUGGGGAGGAAAGUGUGUCUUCUCUGUUGUUUUUCCCUAUGGGAUGGCUGAGAACGGUGAGGGAGUGGAGAUAGAGGACUAGCUUGUGUUGUAACUAAAGCAAGAAAAGCUCUAGAGAACACCAAUUUCUUCUCCAUACCUUAAAUCUUCCCUGUCAAGAGGGGAAAAUUAUACAAAGGAAAAAUUCUGGAAGGCUAUUGAGUCCUCUUCUUUUGUUUCUCCUCCCAGGACAGGGAGGUUGAAGUGUCCUGGCUUCACCCUGCCAUCCCCAACUCAGUUCAUGCUGCCAGAUGAUUCCCCGCUUGUGCAAUGCCCAGAUUGGAGAGCUAAUGGCAUGGGGUUCAGCCUCUCCCUCUUUUUGGGUUGGUUCCACACCUGGAACCCCACUCCUGAUGAUUUUCCCCUCAAUGUUUGUUCUCAUGUGUCUCCUACACAUGUCUAUUUGAGGAGAGAGGUUAUGCAUCUUCUCUUCAAAAGGAGAUACAACUUCUAGGAAUUUAUCCUCAGGAAGUCAGCCUGGAGGUGUCAAACGAAAGCCAACAAAAGGGAUGUUACAGAAUUGAAAGAUUAUGACCUCACAUCAUGAGGCUAUAGAAGAAGUAUUGAUGAGGAAAGAUGUCUAGAGUGUAUUAGUAAGUUUUUAAAAAGCAUGGUUGCAAAAUUGUAUAUUGUGAGGGGUGU